RNAcentral lists this ribozyme (123 nucleotides) under unclassified sequences. RNAcentral's name for it is "Hairpin ribozyme 1 from viruses-like metatranscriptomes". It matches the Rfam family "Hairpin ribozyme 1 from viruses-like metatranscriptomes". The record is from Rfam by way of RNAcentral.
AGUCUGUCCUGAUGCUCGGUUGCUAACCGAGCGUACAGAGAAGACACCAGAGGAAACACUCUCCAAGCUAGUAAAGAGUGAGCUGCGAAGCUCACUAUAGCGAGGAGGGGAAAAUUAACCUGG